This 77-nucleotide transfer RNA is filed under the name Pseudomonadales bacterium. RNAcentral describes it as "tRNA-Met". It matches the Rfam family "tRNA". Rfam says of the family: Transfer RNA (tRNA) molecules are approximately 80 nucleotides in length. Their secondary structure includes four short double-helical elements and three loops (D, anti-codon, and T loops). The record is from RNAcentral. Lineage: Bacteria; Pseudomonadati; Pseudomonadota; Gammaproteobacteria; Pseudomonadales.
GGCUAGGUAGCUCAGCCGGUUAGAGCACAGGAUUCAUAAUCCUGGGGUCGCGAGUUCAAGUCUCGCCCUAGCUACCA